UCUAGAAUUGCAAGGUGGGUCUUGAAGACUUACGUAACGCGGUGGUGAUACCAUUGAAAUUCAAAUUGUCUUUCAAUUUUUUCCUCUGCCCCUCAUUUUAUUAGGGACUUACAUCUUUCCCUUUUCUUUUUGUCUCCAUUCCUCUCCUCCCUCUCUAUUUCUCCUAAUCUUACUCUCUCUUUAUUUAUCAUUUUUUUUUUGGACAAAUGUAUCUGUCUUUCUAAUUUUUUUAAUUUUUUUAUUGUUACAUAUGAGUAAAUAUGUUUUGAAAAAAAAGAAAGUAAAUGGGCUAGAAUCUAAAAUAAGUCUAUACUGUCCCGUUCA
Molecule: long non-coding RNA, 324 nt
Filed under: Lathyrus oleraceus (garden pea)
Lineage: Eukaryota; Viridiplantae; Streptophyta; Magnoliopsida; Fabales; Fabaceae
Description: Pisum sativum (pea) long non-coding RNA (PSAT_LNC026943)
Source: RNAcentral